Molecule: ribosomal RNA, 277 nt
Filed under: uncultured Coprobacillus sp.
Lineage: Bacteria; Bacillati; Bacillota; Erysipelotrichia; Erysipelotrichales; Coprobacillaceae
Description: partial 16S ribosomal RNA
Rfam family: Bacterial small subunit ribosomal RNA
Source: RNAcentral
GCAGCCGCGGUAAUACGUAGGUGGCGAGCGUUAUCCGGAAUCAUUGGGCGUAAAGAGGGAGCAGGCGGCAGCAAAGGUCUGUGGUGAAAGCCCGAAGCUUAACUUCGGCAAGCCAUGGAAACCAUGCAGCUAGAGUGCAGUAGAGGAUCGUGGAAUUCCAUGUGUAGCGGUGAAAUGCGUAGAUAUAUGGAGGAACACCAGUGGCGAAGGCGACGAUCUGGGCUGUAACUGACGCUCAGUCCCGAAAGCGUGGGGAGCAAAUAGGAUUAGAUACCCC